UCUGUGUGAACAUUUUUUUUUUGAUAAAAACAAAAUGGUAUUCAUUCAUUCAAAUUGAUAGAUUACAUCAAAUACAAUCACAUAAUCACUAUCGCAAAAAACGUAAAGGAUGAAUCUGCAACAAAACUCACAACAUCUGAGUUAAUAGCAUACAACGACAAAAUGCCUACAACAAAUAAUAUGAUAAAGUUAAAGUCACCGGAAUAUCCACGUCUCCGUAUCUUUAGUGUUGAUGUCCAAAUCAUUGGUUGAAGCUGUAAUUAACUGAAGCCGGUCAUUCAAUAGAAAUCAAAUGAACACCGCGACAAUACGGAAUAACAAAAGCAUCGCACAAGACGACCAACAACACAACGCCACACUCAGACGACGAAAUCACAAAAAACACAAAAGAAAAAACUUGAUCAAUAUAAAGAUCACUUAUUUAUAUUAAAAGAAGAAGAAAAAAAAACAGAUGUAGAUGGGUGAUUCUACAUCAAAAAUGAUCUAAAACCACACCGAUGAAUAAAGGAGAAGAGUGUCAGUUUCCCAAUGGAAAACUAGGGUCGGCCAGUCCAAAAAUACAUGAUUUCUGUGUGAACAUCAAAUGCUAAGAUUUAUAAAAAAAACGUAAUCUAUCUUGCAAACAAUGCGUUCAUUUCAAGAGUUGUACUUGCAUUGCGUAUUUGAUAAUCCUUUCAAAAUAAAAAAAUGCAAGGUUCAUUAAAUUAAAGAAUUUUUUUUUUUUUUUGGUGAUACAGAAAAUAAAUACAUUACUGGAUCAGUACAAUAACUAAAUGACAACUCAUGGAAUAUUUUACCAUAAUGGGUUUAGUUUUGAAACCCAUUCACAUUUGUGAAGAAUGCACAUUAUCUCAUAAUAGUAGUCUGAAGAUUUUGGACAAUCGGCAUCUGUUUCACAUACCAUAGGUGCUGUAAUGAAAAAAGAUACGAAAAUAAUGUUUCUAAUAUCUGAUAAAACACUAUGUAUAGACUACAAAGCAAAUAAGUUUUUUUUUUCAGCGCCAGUAUCCGGUCCAUUUGACCGCCUAAUCUAGUUCGAGGUCAGUUCGAACAACAAGUGGUUUCAGCCUCCUCCCAAUCGCAGUUGCGAGGGAUCGAACCGUGGUCCAUCCUACUAAAUUCAGCGCCAAUCAUCACUGGACCAAACUGAUGAUUGGUGCAAAUAAGAAAAAUUUGAUAAAGAUGAAAAAAUGACUUACAAUUAAGUCCUUCCGUCGCAACAAUAAAUAUGAAAAAAAAUAGUAUUAUAUAAUACACAAACUUGAGAAU
Molecule: long non-coding RNA, 1269 nt
Filed under: Trifolium pratense (red clover)
Lineage: Eukaryota; Viridiplantae; Streptophyta; Magnoliopsida; Fabales; Fabaceae
Description: long non-coding RNA (TPRA_LNC012491)
Source: RNAcentral